CUGCUCAGUUUCAUCGCAUUUCUGUGACAGAAAGCCCAAACGUGGGUAAACGGUGCCCAGAAACCAGCAGACACGACAGUCCAAGCACAGCACAGCGGCGUCUGGGGGUCGCAGGAGCCGGAGGACACCAGGAGAAGGCCACUCAUCCAGAGGCCUCCAGCCUCACCCCCCUGCACCCAGCCCUCCCUGCCAAGGCAAUAAACCAGCCCCAAUGUCCUCGCCCACCAGGAAACACGGGGUCAUGCUCCCAUCCCCACCAGUGUCGUCCACCCGCCCAGGCUCUUUCUGGAGCCAGUCGUCCUGUGUGGAUAGAGGGACUGGCACGGGACACCCACAUCUGUCCUCUCCUCGCCGUCCCCUGUGGCUCAAAGGAGAAACCCAGGCCAAAUCAACCCAAAAUCCAAAGCAGCUGGAGGAAACAUCAACCCAACUGCCCUGGUAGAGCCCGUAUCUCUGUCCACCGCUUCUUUUAUAAUUCUGCUUUUGUUCUUCUGGCUAUCUGCUUCCUGCGACCUCGUCAGCCCCCCAAGCACCCUUCUUUUUCCAAAGGAGAAGGCUCUUGAAAGGCUUCCAGUAGGGUCAGGCAUUUUUGCCCUCAGCCCUGGGAGAAGGCCCCAGGGGACCCCCGUCACAGCACUGCCCGCAGCAGGGACCCGGUGCCCUUAUCCAAAGCCCCAACCUGGUGUGCUUGGACCCCACGCCUUAUGCCGAGCGGAGCCGACUGGGAAGAGCAGAUCUGGGAGGGAUUUGUCUUCUUCUGGGCCAUCGUUGAAGGUUUUGGUGCCUGUUGGCCAAUGGGGCCACCUGUGGUGCAUGCAGGGCUGAGAGGAGCCAGCUCUUCCCAGAGCAUCUCCCCUUCCUGCAGUCCUGCCAGGGUGCUGGGCUCCCACGAAGCAUCCCCUUGGGACAGAGGAGACCACAGUCCCGUCCUGGUACCACCUUCCCCACCCAUGUCACUGACCUCAGCCAGGAGCUCCGACCAUGCUGGCAACCCACGGGGACCCCAAUGGAAAACACCCAAAUCACCGAGGCCGACGGCGGGGCGGAGGUGGCUCCUGGCUCUCUGACCCCAGAAGACCAUUUCGUCCCUUCCUCAUCCCAUCUCCACCCUCUCCUCCAAAGCAGGGUAGGGUCGCGUGCCUUGUUUUUGGCCGUAACCCCCGACGUGAAGCACCUCCGCCCCCCGCUGACUCCCCGUGCGCACCGAGCACGGGAUCCCCAAAAAUUGCCUGCGAGAAACAACCACGUCCUGGGGACAAGCUCCCACCAUGGGUUACCUCCACCCCGGGGAGGCUGGGACACGCAGAAACGGGGGCACAAGGAGCGAGGGGUGCCCCGACCAGCAAAAAAAAAACACCCAGCAAAGCUACAGCCCCCAGCCCCGUGUGCCGCUGUUGUCACCAUCCCAUGAGCGUGGUGGCCCUGGUGGGGACGUCCCCAUUGGGAACAGCGCAGAGACUUGUGAAAUUCCCUUCAAAGAAACAAAGAGAGGAGAAAAGCCCCGCAUUGGCUCCAUCCAAGGAGGAUUUAAAUUUAUCGAGCAAGGCGGAUGGCAAGGGAAAAAUAUCCCAAAUGUCACCAGGGGUCACAGCCAUGGCUGCUGCCCAAAGGGCAAGGCCAGGUCUUACACAGCCGAAAGGCUCUGAAUUGGGUUAAAACAAACAAAAAACAAGCAAAAUACAUGAAAAAUGUUGAUGAAGGCUCUUAGGCUCUUCUCAAAGCAGACAACGAGCGGUUUCCCUCGGCUCUAAGAGGAGCCGCGACGAAGCCGGCCCCUGCUGGGAGCUGGCACAUGGCUCCAGCCUCUCGUUUUGGGUUGAAAACCUGCAGGUUCGGGUGGAGCAGCAGCGUUUGGGAAUUGGUGCCAAAUGACAACAUGCUUUAAAAAUAAAAAAUAAAAUAAAAACGGGGAGCAGGGUGAUUUUAGCAGCUGGAAAGGGUUCGUUGCAACCAAAGCGUGGCAGGGCGAGCGGGGCGAUGCUCGUCCGGCCCCGCCAGCGGGAGGAGAAGCUGCUGCAAACCCCUCCCUGCCGCACAGCAGCAAGGAGAGGGGAAAA
Oxyura jamaicensis (ruddy duck) is the source of this 2057-nucleotide long non-coding RNA. RefSeq lists it as uncharacterized. NCBI's taxonomy places the organism in Eukaryota, Metazoa, Chordata, Aves, Anseriformes, Anatidae. The record is from RefSeq and is a predicted model, not a curated record. The transcript has 2 exons.